CGCAUCUGUGCAUGCAGCAUAUCAAUAAGCGGAGGAAAAGAAACUAAUAAGGAUUCCCCUAGUAACGGCGAGUGAAGCGGGAAGAGCUCAAAUUUGAAAUCUUAAAGGGUUUCCCCUUACGAAUUGUAGUUUAAAGAAGUGUUUUCUGUUGAGGUUUUGGUAAAAGUUCUUUGGAAUAGGACAUCAUAGAGGGUGAGAAUCCCGUAUUUGACCUUUACUUUCAACUUUGUGAUACACUUUCAAAGAGUCGGAUUGUUUGGGAAUGCAGUCCAAAAUGGGUGGUAAAUUUCAUCUAAAGCUAAAUAUUGGCGAGAGACCGAUAGCGAACAAGUACCGUGAGGGAAAGAUGAAAAGAACUUUGAAAAGAGAGUUAAACAGUACGUGAAAUUGUCAAAAGGGAAGCGUUUGACACCAGUGUUGUUUUUCUGAAAAUCAAUUAAAGAACUGUUUAUGCUAAGCUGUUUAGACUUUAUCAGCUAUCUGUUUAGUUUUGAGCUUUUCUUUAAUGCACUUUUCAGUUAACAAGUCAACAUCAAUUUCUUUUGCUGUAAAAAAGCUUGAGGAAGGUGGCUUGAGAUUCGUCUUAAGUGUUUAUAGCCUCUUGCCUAUGCAGUCGGAGAGAUUGAGGUCUGCAGCGUAGAUCCUUCGGGGCUAAAUGCAUUUGUGCUAAGUUAUAGCAUUUUAUAGACAACUUGUUGACUAUGAUUUGUCUUGUAGCUUACUCGCUUAUGUUAUUUUACCUACGCUUAGGAUGUUGAGUCAUCACACAUCUCU
This 774-nucleotide ribosomal RNA is filed under the name uncultured Neocallimastigales. Its description in RNAcentral is "partial large subunit ribosomal RNA". It matches the Rfam family "Eukaryotic large subunit ribosomal RNA", at positions 26 to 614 of the family's 3401-position model. The record is from RNAcentral. Lineage: Eukaryota; Fungi; Neocallimastigomycota; Neocallimastigomycetes; Neocallimastigales.